UAAGGGUUGUCAACUCGCAGUACUGCGAUA
RNAcentral lists this small RNA (30 nucleotides) under Bombyx mori (domestic silkworm). RNAcentral's name for it is "piRNA piR-bmo-2206283". The record is from RNAcentral. Lineage: Eukaryota; Metazoa; Arthropoda; Insecta; Lepidoptera; Bombycidae.